Molecule: non-coding RNA, 5339 nt
Organism: Equus caballus (horse)
Lineage: Eukaryota; Metazoa; Chordata; Mammalia; Perissodactyla; Equidae
Source: RefSeq, a predicted model, not a curated record
CACCUGAAAUUUGUACAAUGUUAUAAAUCAAUGUUACCUCAAUAAGAAAAAAAUUUUAAAAAAGGAAGUCUCACCAUGAAGAAAAUCCUCUAUUGGCGGCUUUAAACUUUGGGAGAUAUAUGUUCUUACUCUUUAUAAGUCACUCACAGGGAUUCUCUCUGAGGAUUGUAUAACCCGCAUUUCUAGAGCAUCCACACCAUGUAAUGCCUUUGUACAACCAUUAUGAUAAGCACACGUGUGUUCAGUGUGGAAGGAAAUGGACAGUGAAGAGGGUUAGCCCUAAGUCAGUGAGCGUAGAUUUUCCUAGUAAAUAUUGCCACCAGUUGACCUUGCUUUAAAUCACUUCCAGGUCAGUAAAAUACAAGGAUGGAAAUGAUCAUAAAUAACUGCUUGGAUUGCUGAAUUUUUUGCUACAUUAGGGUUAAAGAUUGGGUGGUGAUACUUGGGUUCAAAUUAUAUGAUAUAAUGGUGAUUUUUUUUACUCUCACGAGAAAAAUAUUCUCAGCGAAAUCUCAGAUUCGGAAACAAGACGAGAGGAAAUAUAUUCUCACAGACUGUGCUGUGAAGAUAGAAUGUGAAGGAACAUUUCCAAUAAGGAAAACAAUUACUUAGGGGUUUUUUGGUUCUUUUAUAAUGAACCUCAAGAUAUUUAAGAUCAUGUCUGGCAAAUGUUGACAAUUAUUUUAACUUGCCACUUAUCUGAAAGCUCAAAAUACAGCCAAAAGGAUGCUGAGACACCCCAGAAUGGGCCAGCUGUUUAAUGUGCAUGUGAAACUAAUUUUCACAGUGCAGAGUUCAGCACACCCACCACCGCCCAGGCGGAACCCUAAACACCAAGGAAUGAGGACACUGAAUUGCCUGCACACGCAGUGCCAAACUGUGGAAUUUUCUACAACAUCAAUUUUUUGUCCUCUUCUAUAGACUAAAACUCUCUCUUCAUGAACUUGUUUCAUUAGUCAAUUGUUAAAGAAAAGGGAAACUUUUCAACUGCUGAAAUAUUUUUCUCUAUUUCUCAGAAUAAUAAGGAUUUGUGAUUUUAAUAUAAAUUUUUAUAUGUAUUUCAAAAGUUACCUUUCAGAGUGUAUUAGCAUCGAGUUUAGUAUCUUAAAAGUAGACCCUACAGCAUCAGGAGCACAUGGACUCAUGUGCACAUUGGCUGUACUUUUCUUGCUCAAUAUUGUUUUGCUUUUGAAGUGAUGGCCUGUGUGUUUUUGGUGUGUAUGCUGUGCAUAUCUUUCAGAAGUGACAUUCAAAUGCCAGUGGAGAGGGGACAAUGGGGCUGAGUCUGAAAACCUUCAGAUAGACUCUGCCACACCCGCCUACCAGCCUCCUGAGACCACCUGGGCAAUCCAGCUUCCUGUCCCCUAAUCCCUCCUUGUCUAUGUCAUCAGCUUCUGAUCUUGGAUUUGUCCACAGAUUGAUCACUGUGCUCCCUGGAAGCUGCCAUCUAAUGCUAAUAACUCUGUCUAAACCCAGCCUGCCACUGACUCAGCUUUCACAUCAAGGACUAAAUAUUGGCCGACGUCCUGUGCUCCUUUGGGCAUCAGACUCUGUUUGACUCCACUAUUCCUGUCUUGGCACUGCCACAUUGCACUGUCCUGGCUGGGCGAAGGGGCCCAAAUAGGAGAGCUUGGACAACUGCGUGGCGUCACCCUUCUCUUCAGAGAGAUGCUUACAUCUAAUCCCAGUGGUCCAAACAAGCAAAUAUACAGAUAUCCACCCACGUGGGGUACAGCAAAUCUAGAGGUUAACAAAAAGAUAAAGAGACCGAGUGUGAAAGAUAGCAUCUUUAGAAGUUGGGAUCAAACUUCUGUUUUUUUUAGGAAAAAAAGUAGUUAUAGUCCAAUGCAAUCUAUUAGAUUCUCUGUUAUUAAUCUUGUCCACCUGGAACCUGCUGACCUUGCAGAAAUGCUGAAUUCACCUGGAGGACUCAGGCACAGAGCUGACCAUGGCUAAGAUUGGGUUGACCUGCUAUAUCUCAGAAAGAGAAUUCUGAUCCUACUAACCAUGCCAGGAAAUGGAAUUAUUGGUGCGUGAGGAAUUGAAGGAACUUUUCUGUCAGUUUCUCUUCAUCUUUUCUGUCUAGAAACCUCUUGCUGAAAAUUCCAGAAAUAACCUAAAUAAUUACACCUCCUCAGUGCCCCUGCAUCCUAGUUAUUCAGGCCCACGUUCCCACAGUGCUUCGUUCCACUCCUAUUGUGGCAUUUGUCACACCGCUUUAUAACAUUUGCUUAUGUGCAUUCGCUCCCUCUGGAUCAGGAGCAACCAUAGGACAAAGAUUGUGCCUCAUUCCUCUUUGUAUCCUCAGGUCUUUCUAUAGGGAUAUGCAAAUAGUAGACACUUAAUAAAUGCUUAGUUUCAUAUCUGAAGAUUUUAGCAUUGUGCGUGCUCUGAUUGCUUGCCAGAGAGAGAACCAAACUCUGGACCCCCAAUGUCGAAUCUCUCAAGAGAAUUCUGCUUCCACUUGGGAUGUGGAUUGCUUCAAGAUCAUGUCAUUCCCGGUUCAGCAAUAAGAAAAAUACAGAUAGCCCACAAAAUUAUAAGUUUUCUUGAGCACAUCAGAAAGCUGAGGUUGUAAGGCAGCCAAGAGAACUCAAUUCUGAAGAGUGACAAGUCCACUGGAGAGAAAUGGGUGAGACAGUCUCUUUCACCUUUGGCGGAACAUGGGAGGAGGAUAGAGCUGCCAUAAAAGCAGGUUGGGAGGAAACAGCUACAAUUUUCACAAUGUCUUGAAGACCAAGGGCAGGCUAGUGAGAUAAUUUAGAAUGCCUGUGAGCCUCAGACACAGGGAGAAGGUGUAUGCACUCACUCACUGUCUCUUUCCCACCGUUUUCUACUGUGUGCAUAGGAGAAGGAUUUGGGGCAGGGCAGAAAACAGCUGCUGACAAAGGUUCAUUGCUUCUGAGGGAGGAGUAGAAGCAAAUCUGCUGCCCUGGGGGGAGGGGAUGAAAAUGCGCAGGUGCAGGAUGCUACACUGGAUGCAAAAUGAAGGAAAGAGGCAGGAACAUCUCUCGUGCCAAGGCUUUUGGGAGCUUUGCAGCCAGAAGUAGCAGCUGGGAGAAACAACACUCCAUAGAUGAGUCUCUGUGGAAAUCUCACCACCACCACCUGCCUCUCCACACCUACAACCCCAGAGAUCAGGCAAAGAGCUUCCGGCUGAGCUGUCUGGACGACUUACAGCCUCUGCUGCCAGACUGGCCCCCAAAACUCGUCUCCUCACAAGUGCCCACUGCCUAGCCCUGCUCAUUUCCUCCCUCAGGCUCCUGUGGGGCCACGUUCAGACGCUAGCUACAUGGGAGUCUGGGACAUAUCAUUUUAAGUUUUUAUUUUUUUUGUUUUCUGCUUCAGCAGUUCAAGCAGGCAUCCUAGCUACAAUUCAGGAAGGGAUUCUAUAAGUAGAUUGGAGGAAGAGCUGAAAAAGCCAGUCCAUAAUAUCUACUGCCCCAACCACCCAACUAGAUACAUUUCUAUUGAGACUGGGGGCCAACUUGCUUUCACUAUACUCAGUUAGUAGUCUGUUUGCAAAAGUAGUUAGAUAAGAUAUUGCUAACACCCACCCUAUGGAUAACAUCUCUGCCUCUUGGGUCACCAUGGUAACAGAUGCUUGAGUUUUUCAGGAACUAAGAAUUCACGCCUUGUCCAGUUCAGGCUGGUUAAGACCAGGAUUCAUUGACUGGGCCUGCACAGAUGACUGGCAGGUGACUCUUUGAUGUCAAGGAGUUGAAAACCCCACCCUCAGAUCAUGCUAACACCGGCAUUUUGGGAACAUGCGUCCUAUGAAGAGCCAUGAAAUGACUACGCUUGUACAGAUCAGCAACUACCUCGCUUUUCCUUACUUCCAAUAGUCUAUUCCCACACUUCAGACUGCCCUGCCCCUUUAUCCCAUAAAUAUCCCUAAUCCCCACUUUCAGAGAGACAGAUUUGAGAUUUGUUCUCCCGUCUCCUUGCUUGACUGCCUUGUGAAUAAACACUUUCUCUACUGCAAACUCAUCAUCUCAAUGAUUGACACAAUUGUGCAGCAGACAAAACGAACCUGGGUCAGUAACACUAUCACCCUGUUAAUGUCUUUCAUAAUGCCAGAGCACUUAGAAAAAAAUAAAAUACAUAUGAUUGUUUAUUUCUAUUUGCUGAAUAUCUCCCUCUACUCUACUCAUUUAUAAGAUCCACUCACGCAGGGACCCUCUCUUCAUUUUUCUUUGCUGUAUCCUCACUAUAAACUACAGUGUCUUGCAUACAGAUGGUACUCAAUAAAUACUGCUGAAUAAAUCAGCAGACUCUUUCAGAAUUGAAUAGAAACAAAACCAAAAAUGAUUGCCCUUUCCAUGGAAAAGGGCUUGUAGGGACAGGCCCAACAUUUCCAUUCCGCUUUCUGAGCUCCCUAGGAAGAAAGAACAGUAAAGAGGUUGAGAUGAUGUGUGUUCUCAUUACCUGGCUUUAAAAUGCAGCAAUUUUGAUGAGGAAACUAUUAAAAUGUAUGUGACCCUCUACCCACCCCAAAAUAAAGGAGACAGGAAGUAUUUUAACGUUUCAAGGCUCUCUGCAGGUAGGAAAACGUGUGCCAGGCAGCUCACUCCCCUAAAAGUGCAGGCGGUUUGUGAGCACCAUGUUUGGCAAUGCCUGGACAGCCUGCAGCAACCGUGCAGCAUAUCUGUCUCCAUUAGGCAUUUACACAAAUUCCUGGAACCUGCGCCAGCUCGCUUUUCAAACUGAUUCACUGGCAACAGAAAAGGAAGGGAAAAAACCCUAAGGUCUUAGGGUGCAUUUUUUUCAUUCUCUUUCUACAGCUUAAAGGAGGGUGAAGGUCUGAGACGGGAUUUGCAGCCGUUGAAUAAUAACCAGAAAGGGAGAUUAACCAGCACUGAGGGUGCUUCCCUUGACCAGAAAUGCAAUACAUCCAGCCAGCCAAUCCCCAAACGCCAAGCCAGCUCUGUGCUCUUUACUUACGUCCUUGCUCCUUCUCACCCCAAUCAAGUUUGACUAUGUGGCCCCAGCCAACCAGGCUUGUAUGAACCAGGAGAAGAAUCAGCAUUCCAUUCGCAACUGACUUCUUUUCUGUGACUUGUGGACUGCUAGAAGAUGCUCAAGAAAACAAGAACAGGGAAUUGAAAACGGCAAUUAACACACUGUGAGGGAAGUCAAGUCAACCACCUAAAGCAAAGGCUCUAGUACUCUCUAAAGGAGCUAAAUACGUGGUGAAGAAAGCAGAGGAACUCAGCUCUGCUUGAAUAGGCAAAAACCAACCAGACGUCGAUGAAAAUAAUCCAUAAGCAACCUAUAAAUGAAAAUUGGCAUGAAUUUCAUAUGAACCAGAUCUGAGGACUAGCUUAGACCAGGGCCUU